This 544-nucleotide ribosomal RNA is filed under the name Desulfovibrio sp. enrichment culture clone G7. Its description in RNAcentral is "bacterial SSU rRNA". It matches the Rfam family "Bacterial small subunit ribosomal RNA", at positions 32 to 557 of the family's 1533-position model. Lineage: Bacteria; Pseudomonadati; Thermodesulfobacteriota; Desulfovibrionia; Desulfovibrionales; Desulfovibrionaceae. The record is from RNAcentral.
AACGCUGGAGGCGUGCUUAACACAUGCAAGUCGUGCGAGAAAGGGACUUCGGUCCUGAGUAGAGCAGCGCACGGGUGAGUAACGCGUGGGUAAUCUCCCUUGGUGAUCGGGAUAACAGCGGGAAACUGCUGCUAAUACCGGAUAAUCUUCAUGUUUAACUUCAUGGGGUAAAGGUGGCCUCUGCUUGCAAGCUACCACAUCAAGAUGAGCCCGCGUCUCAUUAGCUAGUUGGUGGGGUAAUGGCCUACCAAGGCUACGAUGAGUAGCUGGUCUGAGAGGAUGACCAGCCACACUGGGACUGGAACACGGCCCAGACUCCUACGGGAGGCAGCAGUGGGGAAUAUUGCGCAAUGGGCGAAAGCCUGACGCAGCGACGCCUCGUGAGGGAUGAAGGUCUUCGGAUCGUAAACCUCUGUCAAGAGGGAAGAAACCCUUGGAUUCGAAUAGGGUCCUUGGCUGACGGUACCUCAAAAGGAAGCACCGGCUAAUCCGUGCCAGCAGCCGCGGUAAUACGGAGGGUGCAAGCGUUAAUCGGAAUCACUGG